GUGGGGAAUAUUGGACAAUGGGCGCAAGCCUGAUCCAGCCAUACCGCGUGGGUGAAGAAGGCCUUCGGGUUGUAAAGCCCUUUUGUUGGGAAAGAAAUCCAGCCGGCUAAUACCUGGUUGGGAUGACGGUACCCAAAGAAUAAGCACCGGCUAACUUCGUGCCAGCAGCCGCGGUAAUACGAAGGGUGCAAGCGUUACUCGGAAUUACUGGGCGUAAAGCGUGCGUAGGUGGUCGUUUAAGUCCGUUGUGAAAGCCCUGGGCUCAACCUGGGAACUGCAGUGGAUACUGGACGACUAGAGUGUGGUAGAGGGUAGCGGAAUUCCUGGUGUAGCAGUGAAAUGCGUAGAGAUCAGGAGGAACAUCCAUGGCGAAGGCAGCUACCUGGACCAACACUGACACUGAGGCACGAAAGCGUGGGGAGCAAACAGGAUUAGAUACC
This 440-nucleotide ribosomal RNA is filed under the name gamma proteobacterium SCGC AAA044-O06. Its description in RNAcentral is "bacterial SSU rRNA". It matches the Rfam family "Bacterial small subunit ribosomal RNA", at positions 354 to 786 of the family's 1533-position model. Lineage: Bacteria; Pseudomonadati; Pseudomonadota; Gammaproteobacteria. The record is from RNAcentral.